GGUGAUCCGCCCGCCUCAGCCUCCCGAAGUGCUGGGAUUACAGGCGUGAGCCACUGUGCCCCGCCUCAUCUGACAGGUUUUAUAGUGGCAGUAAGAAGUGGUCUGUGAUACAGACAUACUUUCUAACAAAAUACACUUCUCGGACACAGAACUUCUCUUUUUGCGAAGUAAGGAGCUCCCAUAGUUCCUGAGAUAGUCUCCACCUGCCACCCUGUUCCUCUCCAGUACCAUACACUGCAAACAUGCCAAGCCGGAUGCCACUCCCCAGACAGCUUCACGACUGCAAAUAUCACAUGGGCUGUGCCUACAACACUUUUCAUUUCUGGGCCAUCCCUGCAAACUUGAAAACCCAACCUCCUCUGUGAAUCUUGUGCUCUCUCUCCUCCAAGCAGAGUGGCUAGCCUGCUUCUCACCCACUCAGCAUACUUCUCCCCUGCACCAUCUCCCUCUGCUGUCAAUAUCUAGACUGUCGGGUCUCUGAGGGCAGGAUCACGUGCUAUUUCCCUGUGUAUCCUCAGUGCUGACCAUAGUGACCUGGACACAGCACACACUGGAUGAUGGGAGGAAGGAAGAAGAGGGGAGAAUUGAGAAUGCAAAGAAAUGCCCAGAAAGCACCGGCGAGUUGCAGGAGAAGGGUGACAACACAGUCUGCAGCGAGAACAGAGAGUUCGCAUAGCCUGGGCGUGUGCCUGCUUCCAUUCCCGCCCACCCACGGUUUCUGGGGCAAACAAAUUCUUGGCUGAGCAGGUACGUGUGGGAGGCCUGAUUUAUUUUCCAACCAUUAGAGCUUUGCCCAGAACUACUUAAUCAGGAUUUUUCAAGGUCGUACAUUCAAAUAUGAUGUUAUAGCCUUAUGAAACAAAUAACUCUGGGGUCUAUGGGGCAGGCGGGUAGGGAGUGACAAGAAGAGGAAGAAAAAAAUUAACCACUCUCAUUUGAUCUAGCUUCCCAACCAUUCUUACCUUGUAUCCACUAUAUAGUCUCAGAAAAUUGACACACUGGACAAAUGCAUAGCUAAAAGAAAUAAUAGCUAAUUAUAAUGCUUACUUUAAAGCAGGCACCAUUCUAAAUGCUCUGUUUAUAUGGACUUAUUUGACUCUCGCAACAAUCCUUUGAGGCGGAUACUAAUAUUAUUGUCCUAAUAUUAUUUUACAGAUGCACGAAGAGGUUAAGUGACUCACCCAAGGACCAAGGGCCGGGUGGUGCACCCAGGUAGUUUGUGCAUUCCCACUCUGCUAUACUCCCUCUCUGUGCUCUGCCGUCCUGUCCCUCAAAAGAGCUUAUUUCAGUCAUGGUAUAUCUAAUUAAUUUUCCCAGUGCGGUACAGUUUUAUUUAAGCUACUUUCUUGAAAGGAAUACUAUCAGAGCCAGUCUCAACCUCAAAGUACAGAUGAGACACUACCAACCCUGCUGCUUAAAAAGCCAUAUAAUUUUAGGAGGGCUGGAAAAGUCCCAAGGCUCAAACCACAAUUCACUCUCACACAGAGCCUGAUUAGAAGCAGUUCUAGGCAAAGCUUUGAUCCUGUUAAAAUGUACAAGCUUCUGGGAGGCGUUCACUUUAUGCUGUUAUCGCCUUGUAGGAAAAGUUGCAUUGUUAUCUUUUUCAGUACAGUUUAAUGAUAAGAACUUCAGGUGGUUUCCAGGCAUCUGAUUCACCUGUCCAGUUCUGACUUGUUCCCUGCUGGGUACCUGGAACUCUCCAGGACCUGGCACAUAAAUAAGUGCUCAAUAUUGCCAGCGUGGGCGAACGAAUGAAUCAAUGAAUGGCUGUCACUCCUGCAGAUGCUAGGUUUAGGGUAUGAUGCAUGUAGGUAUCAAAGGGGCAGCCAAGUUAGGCAAAAUUAUCGCAUUAAAAGUCUAAAUGUGAACAAGUAAAUCUCUGCCAGAGAGUAACAACUGAAAGAGACCUCAGGCAUGCUUAAGUUGUAUAUAUAAUGGUCUUUUUGAAGAUUAUAUUUCAAAAUGCAUAUGCAGUAGAGCUAAUAUACCUGAUGAAGAAGGUAAUAAAUGGCUUAAGAAGUAAGUGAUGUCUAUGUAAUUUCCCCCUAAAAUUAUACUCUCCCAAUAGGUAACAUGCCCUAGGGCAUCACCUUUUCUCCCAACAGUCUCCUAUCCAAGUCCUCUGCGUACUCAAAGUCCUCCCCAAAUGCCUUCUUUUCCAGGAAAUAUUCCCUGCUUUCUGGCCAGAAGAGGUCACUCCCCAGUUUGUACUCAAAGGUACUUUGUUCUUUCUUCUUGUACACAAAUUCAUUUUCUGAAUUGUAGUUAUUUUUCUCAUCUGCACUACCAACUUGUCCCUAACUUCUUCCCUGUAUUCCACAGGGAACCACACAUUCUUCCUAACGUAAACCAAGCAUCUAGUAAAAAUCAGGCUGUUUUUUAAAGGACUCCUAUGGAAGUGCUCCAAGGAUACCACAAACAUCUGUUUCUGAUGUUCAAAUACAUUUUGGAUAUUUUUUAAGCUUUAAUUUAAGAAAACAACCUGAAAUGGUUUAUAUGCAAACUUUUCACGCACUGCAGAUCUCUGCCCAUGAAUGUAGUGUGUGCCAAUAAACCCGGCCAGGCCGGGCAACCUUGCAGCCCUCACAGGAGGCUGCUCUGCCUGCUCUGUGCUCACUCACAUGUGAACUUCUCCUAAGUGUGACAUUGGUGAGGGAAGCUGUAGGCCCAACUCGGCCCUGUGAGAAGUACCUGCCUGCACAGUCUCCUCUCCUAAAGUUGUUCAAGCAAGCACAUGAAUACAAAACCACACCCUAGCGUGGGCUUCGAUGAAAUGCCAGGCAAGGCUCAGGGCCAUCUGUACGGCCUUGCUUUCAUGGCACCGUAAAGUCCUUUGUGAUAAUAUCCCACUUGAGAGAGAGUAAAUAUUUAUUCUAAGAAUUAGAUGUUUCCUGUAUGACUAGAUUUAUGAUAAGGAAUGUGACCAACUGUUUCCUAAGUUCAGUUACAGGGUUUCUUACAGCUUUGAAACAAAUACUCCCUAUCUUCCAUGGGCUGAACUAAAAUGUAUCCUGGAAUCCCAAGGCAAGGUAUUUAAACCAAACCAAAAACUCUGUUACGGUUUGCAAACAAUUAUCUAUAAAAACAGACUUUUAAAAUAUCCUGUAUUUAAAGCAAAGCAUACAAUUUUUUUAAAGACAGAAGAUGAUGUGACUAUAGCUAUUAGAAGUUAACAAUACCUGACUUAAAAAGUUUUCUAUCUUCGUAAUAGCCUCAUUGUUCUUACUGACACGGCCGUAAAUAAACCUCAUAAGUGUAAACUUCAAAAAUUUAUACUUAGUAAGAUAGCACUUUAUCUGUUUUAUAUGGUAGAGUUUCAUGUAAGAUUUCAGUUAAUGAAAAGAUUCACUGCUUCCCAGAAGUUUGAAAACUUCUCUUAAUGUUCCUUAAACAUCAGUCUAUGGCUGCAAGAGACCUGGAGAAGAUGUUUUCAUACAUGUGUUCCUGGACCAUUUUCCUCAGUAAUUUCCUUGUACUAGGUACAAAGGUAAGAAUCUAAACUUAGGCAAAAAAAAAAAAAAAAAAAAGAAAAGAAAA
Long non-coding RNA from Cercocebus atys (sooty mangabey), 3537 nucleotides. RefSeq lists it as uncharacterized. NCBI's taxonomy places the organism in Eukaryota, Metazoa, Chordata, Mammalia, Primates, Cercopithecidae. The record is from RefSeq and is a predicted model, not a curated record. The transcript has 2 exons.